RNAcentral lists this transfer RNA (82 nucleotides) under Ixodes scapularis (black-legged tick). It matches the Rfam family "tRNA". From Rfam's summary of the family: Transfer RNA (tRNA) molecules are approximately 80 nucleotides in length. Their secondary structure includes four short double-helical elements and three loops (D, anti-codon, and T loops). Further hydrogen bonds mediate the characteristic L-shaped molecular structure. tRNAs have two regions of fundamental functional importance: the anti-codon, which is responsible for specific mRNA codon recognition, and the 3' end, to which the tRNAs corresponding amino acid is attached (by aminoacyl-tRNA synthetases). tRNAs cope with the degeneracy of the genetic code in two manners: having more than one tRNA (with a specific anti-codon) for a particular amino acid; and 'wobble' base-pairing, i.e. permitting non-standard base-pairing at the 3rd anti-codon position. The record is from Rfam by way of RNAcentral. Lineage: Eukaryota; Metazoa; Arthropoda; Arachnida; Ixodida; Ixodidae.
GCAGUCGUGGCCGAGUGGUUAAGGCGACGGACUAGAAAUCCAUUGGGGUCUCCCCGCACAGGUUCGAAUCCUGUCUACUAUG